RNAcentral lists this unclassified non-coding RNA (331 nucleotides) under soil metagenome. RNAcentral describes it as "partial contains 5.8S ribosomal RNA, internal transcribed spacer 2, and large subunit ribosomal RNA". The stretch from base 1 to 120 matches the Rfam family "5.8S ribosomal RNA", at positions 35 to 154 of the family's 154-position model. The record is from RNAcentral.
GAUGAAGAACGUAGCAAAAUGCGAUAAGUAAUGUGAAUUGCAGAAUUCAGUGAAUCAUCGAAUCUUUGAACGCACAUUGCGCCCGCCAGUAUUCUGGCGGGCAUGCCUGUUCGAGCGUCAUUUCAACCCUCAAGCACAGCUUGGUGUUGGGACUCGCGUUAAUUCGCGUUCCCCAAAUUGAUUGGCGGUCACGUCGAGCUUCCAUAGCGUAGUAGUAAAACCCUCGUUACUGGUAAUCGUCGCGGCCACGCCGUUAAACCCCAACUUCUGAAUGUUGACCUCGGAUCAGGUAGGAAUACCCGCUGAACUUAAGCAUAUCAAUAAGCGGAGA